CCGAGUUUACAACUCCCAAACCCCUGUGAACAUACCACUUGUUGCCUCGGCGGAUCCGCCCGCUCCCGGUAAAACGGGACGGCCCGCCAGAGGACCCCUAAACUCUGUUUCUAUAUGUAACUUCUGAGUAAAACCAUAAAUAAAUCA
Molecule: unclassified non-coding RNA, 147 nt
Filed under: soil metagenome
Description: partial internal transcribed spacer 1
Source: RNAcentral